This 527-nucleotide ribosomal RNA is filed under the name Listeria monocytogenes. RNAcentral's name for it is "partial 23S ribosomal RNA". It matches the Rfam family "Bacterial large subunit ribosomal RNA", at positions 398 to 926 of the family's 2925-position model. Lineage: Bacteria; Bacillati; Bacillota; Bacilli; Caryophanales; Listeriaceae. The record is from RNAcentral.
AGAGUGGAUCCUGAGUACGGCGGAACACGUGAAAUUCCGUCGGAAUCCGGGAGGACCAUCUCCCAAGGCUAAAUACUCCCUAGUGACCGAUAGUGAACCAGUACCGUGAGGGAAAGGUGAAAAGCACCCCGGAAGGGGAGUGAAACAGUUCCUGAAACCGUGUGCCUACAAGUAGUUAGAGCCCGUUAAUGGGUGAUAGCGUGCCUUUUGUAGAAUGAACCGGCGAGUUACGAUUUGUUGCAAGGUUAAGCGGAAAAAGCGGAGCCGUAGCGAAAGCGAGUCUGAAUAGGGCGCAUAAGUAACAGGUCGUAGACCCGAAACCAGGUGAUCUACCCAUGUCCAGGAUGAAGGUAAGGUAAUACUUACUGGAGGUCCGAACCCACGCACGUUGAAAAGUGCGGGGAUGAGGUGUGGGUAGCGGAGAAAUUCCAAUCGAACUUGGAGAUAGCUGGUUCUCUCCGAAAUAGCUUUAGGGCUAGCCUCGAGGUAAAGAGUCAUGGAGGUAGAGCACUGUUUGGACUAGGGGC